CAAAGAGUAGUUUAAAAUAAAAUAAUAAUUUUGGAGAUUAUAGAUAAAUAGUAUAUUUUUCUUUGA
Molecule: transfer RNA, 66 nt
Filed under: Athripsodes aterrimus
Lineage: Eukaryota; Metazoa; Arthropoda; Insecta; Trichoptera; Leptoceridae
Description: tRNA-Pro
Source: RNAcentral